RNAcentral lists this ribosomal RNA (492 nucleotides) under uncultured bacterium. Its description in RNAcentral is "partial 16S ribosomal RNA". It matches the Rfam family "Bacterial small subunit ribosomal RNA", at positions 29 to 507 of the family's 1533-position model. The record is from RNAcentral.
AGUGAACGCUGGCGGUAGGCCUAACACAUGCAAGUCGAACGGCAGCACAGUAAGAGCUUGCUCUUACGGGUGGCGAGUGGCGGACGGGUGAGGAAUACAUCGGAAUCUACUUUUUCGUGGGGGAUAACGUAGGGAAACUUACGCUAAUACCGCAUACGACCUACGGGUGAAAGCAGGGGAUCUUCGGACCUUGCGCGAUUGAAUGAGCCGAUGUCGGAUUAGCUAGUUGGCGGGGUAAAGGCCCACCAAGGCGACGAUCCGUAGCUGGUCUGAGAGGAUGAUCAGGCACACUGGAACUGAGACACGGUCCAGACUCCUACGGGAGGCAGCAGUGGGGAAUAUUGGACAAUGGGCGCAAGCCUGAUCCAGCCAUACCGCGUGGGUGAAGAAGGCCUUCGGGUUGUAAAGCCCUUUUGUUGGGAAAGAAAAGCAGCAAGUUAAUACCCCGCUGUUCUGACGGUACCCAAAGAAUAAGCACCGGCUAACUUCGUG